Molecule: ribosomal RNA, 484 nt
Filed under: uncultured bacterium
Lineage: Bacteria
Description: partial 16S ribosomal RNA
Rfam family: Bacterial small subunit ribosomal RNA
Source: RNAcentral
AUUGAACGCUGGCGGCAGGCCUAACACAUGCAAGUCGAGCGGAUGAAGGGAGCUUGCUCCUGGAUUCAGCGGCGGACGGGUGAGUAAUGCCUAGGAAUCUGCCUGGCAGUGGGGGAUAACGUCCGGAAACGGGCGCUAAUACCGCAUACGUCCUGAGGGAGAAAGUGGGGGAUCUUCGGACCUCACGCUCUCAGAUGAGCCUAGGUCGGAUUAGCUAGUUGGUGGGGUAAAGGCCUACCAAGGCGACGAUCCGUAACUGGUCUGAGAGGAUGAUCAGUCACACUGGAACUGAGACACGGUCCAGACUCCUACGGGAGGCAGCAGUGGGGAAUAUUGGACAGUGGGCGAAAGCCUGAUCCAGCCAUGCCGCGUGUGUGAAGAAGGUCUUCGGAUUGUAAAGCACUUUAAGUUGGGAGGAAGGGCAGUAAGUUAAUACCUUGCUGUUUUGACGUUACCGACAGAAUAAGCACCGGCUAACUUCGUG